RNAcentral lists this unclassified non-coding RNA (253 nucleotides) under uncultured Pleosporales. RNAcentral's name for it is "sequence contains 5.8S rRNA gene, ITS2, 28S rRNA gene". The record is from RNAcentral. Lineage: Eukaryota; Fungi; Ascomycota; Dothideomycetes; Pleosporales.
AACGCACAUUGCGCCCCUUGGUAUUCCAUGGGGCAUGCCUGUUCGAGCGUCAUUUGUACCUUCAAGCCUUGCUUGGUGUUGGGUGUUUUGUCCUGCUUUUUUGCGCAUGGACUCGCCUUAAAUCCAUUGGCAGUCGGCAAUCUGGCGUGAGAGCGCAGCACAUUUUGCGCUCUUCGCUGUGUAUUGCGGCGUCCAUGAAGCCUAUAUUCUAGCGCUUGACCUCGGAUCAGGUAGGGAUACCCGCUGAACUUAA